Bos taurus (domestic cattle) is the source of this 72-nucleotide non-coding RNA. NCBI's taxonomy places the organism in Eukaryota, Metazoa, Chordata, Mammalia, Artiodactyla, Bovidae. The record is from Rfam.
UCCCUGGUGGCUCAGAGGUUAAAGCAUCUGCCUGGAAUUCGGGAGACCCAGGUUCGAUCCCUGGGUCGGGAA